ACUCAAAGGAAUUGACGGGGGCCCGCACAAGCGGUGGAGCAUGUGGUUCAAUUCGACGCAACGCGAAGAACCUUACCCAGGCUUGAAGUGCGAGUGACAACCCUUGAAAGAGGGCUUCCGCAAGGACACUCGUAGAGGUGCUGCAUGGCUGUCGUCAGCUCGUGUCGUGAGAUGUUGGGUUAAGUCCCGCAACGAGCGCAACCCUUGUCUGCUGUUGCCAUCAGGUUAAGCUGGGCACUCUGCAGAGACUGCCGGUGAUAAACCGGAGGAAGGUGGGGAUGACGUCAAGUCAGCAUGGCCUUUAUGUCUGGGGCUACACACGUGCUACAAUGGUCGGUACAAAGCGUCGCGAUCCCGCAAGGGGGAGCUAAUCGCAUAAAACCGGUCUCAGUUCGGAUUGCAGGCUGCAACUCGCCUGCAUGAAGUUGGAAUCGCUAGUAAUCGCGGAUCAGCAUGCCGUGGUGAAUACGUUCCCGGGCCUUGUACACACCGCCCGU
RNAcentral lists this ribosomal RNA (497 nucleotides) under uncultured bacterium. Its description in RNAcentral is "partial 16S ribosomal RNA". It matches the Rfam family "Bacterial small subunit ribosomal RNA", at positions 899 to 1397 of the family's 1533-position model. The record is from RNAcentral.